CCUACGGGUGGCUGCAGUGGGGAAUAUUGCACAAUGGGCGCAAGCCUGAUGCAGCCAUGCCGCGUGUGAAGAAGGCCUUCGGGUUGUAAAGCACUUUCAGCGGGGAGGAAGGCGGUGAGGUUAAUAACCUCAUCGAUUGACGUUACCCGCAGAAGAAGCACCGGCUAACUCCGUGCCAGCAGCCGCGGUAAUACGGAGGGUGCAAGCGUUAAUCGGAAUUACUGGGCGUAAAGCGCACGCAGGCGGUCUGUCAAGUCGGAUGUGAAAUCCCCGGGCUCAACCUGGGAACUGCAUUCGAAACUGGCAGGCUAGAGUCUUGUAGAGGGGGGUAGAAUUCCAGGUGUAGCGGUGAAAUGCGUAGAGAUCUGGAGGAAUACCGGUGGCGAAGGCGGCCCCCUGGACAAAGACUGACGCGCAGGUGCGAAAGCGUGGGGAGCAAACAGGAUUAGAUACCCGGGUAGUC
RNAcentral lists this ribosomal RNA (463 nucleotides) under uncultured Klebsiella sp. RNAcentral's name for it is "bacterial SSU rRNA". It matches the Rfam family "Bacterial small subunit ribosomal RNA", at positions 338 to 795 of the family's 1533-position model. Lineage: Bacteria; Pseudomonadati; Pseudomonadota; Gammaproteobacteria; Enterobacterales; Enterobacteriaceae. The record is from RNAcentral.